AGUCGAGCGAGACCUUCGGGUCUAGCGGCGGACGGGUGAGUAACGCGUGGGAACGUGCCCUUCUCUGCGGAAUAGCCACUGGAAACGGUGAGUAAUACCAUAUACGCCCUUCGGGGGAAAGAUUUAUCGGAGAAGGAUCGGCCCGCGUUAGAUUAGGUAGUUGGUGGGGUAAUGGCCUACCAAGCCUACGAUCUAUAGCUGGUUUUAGAGGAUGAUCAGCCACACUGGGACUGAGACACGGCCCAGACUCCUACGGGAGGCAGCAGUGGGGAAUAUUGGACAAUGGGGGCAACCCUGAUCCAGCAAUGCCGCGUGUGUGAUGAAGGCCUUAGGGUUGUAAAACACUUUCAAUGGUGAAGAUGAUGACGGUAACCAUAGAAGAAGCCCCGGCUAACUUCGUGCCAGCAGCCGCGGUAAUACGAAGGGGGCGAGCGUUGUUCGGAAUUACUGGGCGUAAAGGGCGCGCAGGCGGCCAAUCCAGUCAGGUGUGAAAGCCCCGAGCUCAACUUGGGAACUGCACUUGAUACUGAUUGGCUAGAAAACGGAAGAGGGCAGUGGAAUUCCCAGUGUAGAGGUGAAAUUCGUAGAUAUUGGGAAGAACACCAGUGGCGAAAGCGGCUGCCUGGUCCGAUUUUGACGCUGAGGCGCGAAAGCGUGGGUAGCAAACAGGAUUAGAUACCCUGGUAGAAGGGC
RNAcentral lists this ribosomal RNA (693 nucleotides) under uncultured Alphaproteobacteria bacterium. RNAcentral describes it as "bacterial SSU rRNA". It matches the Rfam family "Bacterial small subunit ribosomal RNA", at positions 60 to 795 of the family's 1533-position model. Lineage: Bacteria; Pseudomonadati; Pseudomonadota; Alphaproteobacteria. The record is from RNAcentral.